AAGGGGUGUUUACUGAACAUUUUUUUGCAUUUUCUUACAAUUUUGAUUUGCAUUAUUAGGUUGAUGGAAUAGGUGCAGUUAUAGUUAAAAUACCUAUCAGCAGUAAGUGGUCAGUACUCACUACAGUUGGUUGAUGGAAUAAUUUGUUGUAACUACGAUCAGUAAGUGGCCACUGGCCAGUGCAGUUGGUUGAUGGAAUAAUUUGUUAGCGAUCAUCAUAUGGCCUCGACUAGCUCUUCAAGUGUGCACGUUCUCAGCAUCCAGCAUCCCUUCACUUGCGUUGGCAGGGUGUAUGCCGUGCGAGCUAGCUUGGUCAAAUGAUUUCCCCAGAAGUCUUGUCCUAUCUUCCUAGUUUCAUUUAGUCGGUAUCAAUUCAUACAUAAAGAAAAGAUAAUGCAGAAGCUAUGCACACCUACCCACAACAGCAACAUCAUGUAUGUAGCAGGCCUACAGGGGUUAGAUUGGGUUUGACUUGAGCAGGUCAAAACUACUUUCCUACUUAUUUGUCGAACAGCUACAUCCUUUUCCUUAAACCGGGUGCAACUGAAUCAGCAGGAGGUUGAAAUUCUGUGGCAUCUAAUCUUUACCAUGCACAGUAAACAAGUGGUGUAUGUUGUUCUCUUUUCCAAUUAUUGGAUGAGAAGCUGUGCCAUUUCAUCUAAUCUGUAAUAAAGGUUUUAUUCUUUUUCUAAGACUUAACAAGAAUCACUGUCACUUACUAGUUUAAUCAAUAAUUAAGGUAUCCACGUCAUGUGCACUAUGUCAUUUUCUUGAUAUUCUGAUCUUAUUAUUAUACAACAACCUAAAUUCUUUAAAGCAAAGCUUUGCUAUUUAGAGGUCUUGAGCACACACCCUUACGAGCCGUCCGAUCAGGAUCCCGAUCGCCAGGUGUUCCGUGGUCGGGUUUUACGGAGCGAAGGGAAACGCAAACGAACAACACACAGUGGAAGUGGGCCCCAACCAAACCCACACUCUCACAUCCACAAGCGCAUGCCUGUUUCUUCUCCCAAAUCCACCGCUGCGUUCGUCGAUCCGCGGCGCCGGCCGCGCCGCACUCCGCGAGCGCCUGCUUGUCUCCCUAGCCGGCGUCAGGGGCCAAGGUGACAAAUCCACAGGCUUCUCCCCCGCCCCAGAUUUUCGCUCGCCGAAUCCGUCGGCUCCUUGCUGCCGUCGUCUUCGCGGUCGCCGCGAUUCUCGACUCCGGCGACCUCCUCCCAGCCUCCCGCGACAAGGCCGUGUCCGUGUUGGCCGCCUUCGCGUCCUCCGAAGGCGAGCGCGCACCCAUCUCCACGAGGAAGGCGAGCGCGCACCACCCCCACGCUCCUCGUUCAGUGGCGCUGGCACCGACGCCGUUGUAGCGGGCCUCUUCCUCUCAAGCAUCUCGCCGCAGGCCACAUCAGGGAUGGCCUCGACCUCCUGCUGCUAGCUGCUGGUGCUGGCUGUAGCUUGAACUGGAGGUCUGGAGCAGAAAAAUUGCACCGAGGUAGCAGGUGGAUGAUGGUGUUGGUGCCUUUCUCUUGAAUUGUUGCUGGUGAUGGCUGCAAUUUAAAGGAGUAUUUUUUUCCUUUCUCUCCUUCCAUUUCUGUAAUUGUGCUUCCCCUAUGCGUGAUGAUGUUUCUUAGCACAAGGUGCAUUGGCUUGGGUUGAUCUGCUGUGAUAGUUCGGAGAGAUGAUAGUAGCAAGUAUAAACUCUCUACUAUGAUUAUAUUCAUAACACAUGGCAAAAAAGAGACUGCAUUAUUAAGUAAUCUGUUGUUUCGUUAUCAUUCUAAUUCUUUUUUAGCCACUAUACAUGUGUCAUGUAUGAGAACUUGAUAGAUAUUUGCUUAUCUGUGUCCAAGUGAUUACAGCAUAUAAUAAAGCGGGGAAAACAAGAUUUAUAUUGAGCAUUGUUUUUAAGGCGGUAAGGCGACCUAAGGCGAGCACCACCCGCUCUAGCGCCUAGGCGACGCCUAAGGCGGGCAUAUUUGUAAGGCGCUGCCCGGGCGCCUUGUCGCUUAAGCGUCGCCUAAGCGUCCAAUGCAGGACGCCUUAAAAACAAUGAUAUUGAGCUAUUAUACUCAUUUCUUCUAUUGGACUUGCUCAAACUUGCAUGAUUUUUUUGUUAGUAGUUGCCUUGUUCCUGCUAUUGGACUUGCUUAAUGGGUCGACGGGCUGUUUGUAUCCACUAUUUUAUUUUCUUCGGAAAGCAAGCUAAUGAGUUGGCUGCAGAAUCUAUGGAAAUUGUCUACAAACCCAGUAUGAGUUGCUGCCUUUUAAUCCCUUCUCUAAAGAAAACCUGGUUUGCUUGGAUAUAGUAUGCAAUUUGCUUAGAUUAGAGCACAACUUGCCUGCAAUAACUAAAGCAUUUGUCCAUGGGACACAACACAACUUGAUGUUCCGCAUAAUAUAGGUCCACAUUUAUUUGCCUGAAACUUGUAUGCAAAUUGCCUACAAACCAAGUUGUAGUUGCUCCUGACUUUCGCUAUUUAUUUUAAUUCGGCUAGCAAGCUGAUGAGGUUGCUACAUUAUCUAUGGAAAUUGCCUACAAACCCAAUACGAGUUGCUACCUUUCAAUCAUUUUUUAUAUGUGGUGCAUAUACUGGUUAGUAGUCUCCAUGUGUUUGUUAUUUUUUCAUAAUAAUUGCCUCAAAUUUCGUAUGUAGUUGCCUCAAAUAACACAUGAACCUUGCUCUUCAUUUAUUUUCCUUAACAUUUCAUAAUAAUUGGGGUAAUUUUAUACUUGAAGUUUAAAUGUGACAACACAUUAUCAUUGUAUGUUUUAUCUCUUGUUUUGCUACAUUGGGAUUUUUUUAAUUGGGGGUGCCGAAUGGGGGUAUUCUCCCCCCUGUUUUUUACAGCCACGUGCUUUCAUUUUUGAGGCGCCUCAUGUCAACGACAACACAUGCCUUAGAUGAUUUUGUCCAUGAUGAUCUGGUAGGAACUAAUGGAUGAACCAAGCAAAAAUGGCAUUCAAGAAGAUCAUUAUGCAGUUAAUCGUGAUGCUGAUCCCUCACAUGUGAUUGAAGAUCAUCACGAGGGCUAGAGAAGCACACCCUUUAUUGGGUACCAGCGUUGAGGAAGAAAGGAGAUUGCUGCCAGUGGCAAACGUCUGUUGGACAUCAACAGCAAUUCGAGUGUUUCCACAUAUGGUGAUUGAAAUUCUAAGAAAGACACUGUCGUGGAACAACCAUCAAAAGCAAAAUGUCAAAAGACCGGAUCUAACGAGAAUAAGAGAACAGGGCAUCGCCUGCAAGGCUUUUCAAGCUGAAUAAACUUCUUGUACCUGUUCAACAAGGCCAAGCUCAAGUCACUUUCAGUCAAUUUCUGACACCAGCCUUGUGCAGAUCAUGGGGAAAGGGAAAG
Non-coding RNA from Triticum urartu, 3345 nucleotides. Lineage: Eukaryota; Viridiplantae; Streptophyta; Magnoliopsida; Poales; Poaceae. The record is from RefSeq and is a predicted model, not a curated record.